AUGCAGAGGAAAUGCAGAAGCUUCAUCGUGUGGUCAGUGUUUCUGGCCUGUUUCAUUUUGACCCAGCCUGACAGGUGUGGAAUCCCAGGUGUCACUUCUAAAGGUAUAAAAGGCAAAGCACAAUGUCACAUCAGCAUCUCACAGCAUCUCAGCUUCAGCUGCACUCGCUGGAAAACAGAAAAAAUGGUCUGGAUUAAAUUCACCAUCAUUUGCACGCUCAUAUCUCUGCUGGAAGCCCAUAAGGAGUGCACAAGACACAUAAAAUGGGCGCAUCUCAUCCAGUCUUUAAAUUCAAUGGGCACUGCGAUAUCUCAUGAUUGUGCAUUUGAAUAUGAAGAAGCCAGUCUGUGUGAUCCACAUCACCUGGCCAAUAUGGUGGAUCAUAAUGCAAUCCUUCUGGUCGACAUUGUCAAGAAAACAGAAACAAUGUACAGGGAGAACCCAAACCCAAAGACGUUUAUCGAGGCCCUUCAUCACACCCGUUAUACUCUGAGAAACUGUGUUCAUAACUCUGACGCUGCUGAAAAUGAGCAUGUGACCACAUGCUUCAAUAAACUAGAAGCUUUUCUAAAGAAAAAGUCCCACUCACAGUGUGCAUGGGAAAUCAUUAAUUCAAAAGUGAGGGAGGUUCUUCAGAGGCUGAAACGCUCCGUCAUAAGGCGACGUUAGAGACUUUCUUAUGAAUGUCUUUAUUAUGCAUGCAUUAAUGGAUAUAUUUUAUUGCAAAUAAGGUAUGCUAUUUUAUAAGCUCGAUGGAUAUAUGUAUAUAUUUUAAGAAGUGCACAUUAUAUACAAAACGUGACAAAAAAAUCAUGAUUUAUUGAGUCGUGAACAGAUUAUUGCUGUGUGAGAUAAUCUUGAUCGAGAUGUAGUAGUAAAAAUAUACAUAGUUUUUCUAAUAAAGUUGUUAUGAAAUGCA
Molecule: long non-coding RNA, 919 nt
Organism: Cyprinus carpio (common carp)
Lineage: Eukaryota; Metazoa; Chordata; Actinopteri; Cypriniformes; Cyprinidae
Source: Ensembl